CAUACAUACAUACACACAUACAUACAUACAUACACACAUACAUACACACAUACACACAUACACACAUACACACAUACACACAUACACACAUACACACAUACACACAUACACACAUACACACAUACACACAUACACACACACACACAUACACACAUACACACAUACACACAUACACACAUACACACAUACACACAUACACACAUACACACAUACACACAUACACACAUACACACAUACACACAUACACACAUACACACAUACA
This is a non-coding RNA of Paramuricea clavata, 262 nucleotides long. The record is from the annotation of a GenBank genome assembly. NCBI's taxonomy places the organism in Eukaryota, Metazoa, Cnidaria, Anthozoa, Malacalcyonacea, Plexauridae.